RNAcentral lists this ribosomal RNA (331 nucleotides) under uncultured bacterium. Its description in RNAcentral is "partial 16S ribosomal RNA". It matches the Rfam family "Bacterial small subunit ribosomal RNA", at positions 338 to 685 of the family's 1533-position model. The record is from RNAcentral.
CCUACGGGUGGCAGCAGUGGGGAAUAUUGCACAAUGGGGGAAACCCUGAUGCAGCGACGCCGCGUGAGUGAAGGAGCGUCUCGGCGCGUAAAGCCCUAUCGGCAGGGAAGAAGGAGGACGGUACCUGACUAGGAAGCCCCGGCUAACUACGUGCCAGCAGCCGCGGUAAUACGUAGGGGGCAAGCGUUAUCCGGAUUUACUGGGUGUAAAGGGGGCGCAGAGGGCAGCGCAAGCCAGGAGUGAAAGCCCGGGGCCCAACCCCGGGACUGCUGUUGGAACUGCGCGGCUGGGGUGCAGAGGGGGCAGGCGGAAUUCCGGGUGUAGCGGUGAA